GGAGGAUAUGCUGUCCAGCUAAAAGAGUGGGAACCUUUAAGACACAAUUUAGCAAAACAAUCUGCAACCUGAUUUGCAGUCCUUCUAACCAAGGACAGAACCCUGGGGCAAGGAGGAUAUAGCAACCUUAAUACAGCCACUGGUCUCAUUAAUUAGGUUGCAUUACAAGCGGGCAAUACAUGCAAAGCUUGUAAAUGACUUAAAAGUACACCACUUUUCAAAUGCUUUUUUGUGCUCUCGAAGGGUGAUAUGGCCAAUGGGGAAAAAGACUUACUUGCGUCAAAGAGGAUUACAAAUUGUUCAACGUUUUUUGC
Molecule: unclassified non-coding RNA, 314 nt
Filed under: Hevea brasiliensis (rubber tree)
Lineage: Eukaryota; Viridiplantae; Streptophyta; Magnoliopsida; Malpighiales; Euphorbiaceae
Source: RNAcentral